UGAGACUGAGGUAGGGACAGAGGUGUUUACUAUAUAUUAUAAUAUGCUUCAGAAAGAUUUUUCAAUUGUGCUAACUACUCAUUAAUUCUCUAUGAAGUUAGAUUCUGUAGAGUUCUUGGGUGCUACUGGUGUGUUUUCCUGGAGACAGAAGAUGUGGUAUCAGUGGCACAGAUCUCUAACCAUCUCUAUACACCUUUUUAUCCCAGCACAUGAGAUUCCUGGUGUCACAAGAUUUUGAUGCAGAUGACUGCAGCCGAAGAGCCAGCUCUCCGUAGCUGAUGUGAGGAGCUGUGCCCAGCAGGCAUGGUCUGGGAGCAGGAGGGAGGCACCAUCUUCCCAGCAGUGUGAGUUGAAGGCAUCCAGAGCAGUGGAAUGUCAGCACAUGAGAUUCCUGGUGUCACAAGAGUUUGACAGACGACUGCAGCCGAAGAGCCAGCUCUCCGUACGUGAGGAGCUGUGCCCAGCACGCGUGGUCUGGGAGCAGGAGGGAGGCAGCAUCUUCCCAGCAGUGUGAGCUGAAGGCAUCCAGAGCAGUGGAAUGUCAGUGUAUUCAUUCGGAACUAAGAAGGUAUAAAGAGAAGUCAUCUUUUCAUAUUGCUCAGAAAUGCCUAACAAAGAAAUAUGCUGUUUAUCCUGAAGAAAGGAAUUCUAAAUGGCAGGAUAACAAUGAGACGAUACCAGUUCGCCAAUAAAUAUCUGGAGGCAGC
Molecule: long non-coding RNA, 707 nt
Filed under: Calidris pugnax (ruff)
Lineage: Eukaryota; Metazoa; Chordata; Aves; Charadriiformes; Scolopacidae
Description: lncRNA (ENSCPUG00000014240.1)
Source: RNAcentral